AGAGUUUGAUUAUGGCUCAGGACGAACGCUGGCGGCGUGCUUAACACAUGCAAGUCGAACGGAGGUUAUUUGAAACUUAGUGAUAGAUAACCUUAGUGGCGGACGGGUGAGCAACGCGUGGAUAACCUGCCUACAUGCCUGGGACAACACCGGGAAACUGGUGCUAAUACCGGAUACGCUCUUGUAUGCACAUGCAUAUAAGAGGAAAGGAGCAAUCCGCAUAUAGAUGGGUCCGCGUCCCAUUAGCUAGUUGGAGGUGUAAGAGACCCCCAAGGCGACGAUGGGUAGCCGGCCUGAGAGGGUGGACGGCCACACUGGAACUGAGACACGGUCCAGACUCCUACGGGAGGCAGCAGUGGGGAAUCUUCCGCAAUGGGCGAAAAACGCCUGACGGAGCAACGCCGCGUGAGUGAAGAAGGCCGUUCGGGUACGUAAAACUCUGUCUUCGAGGGAAAGAAAAAAUGACGGUACCUGAGGAGGAACGCCCGGCUAACUACGUGCCAGCCGCGGC
RNAcentral lists this ribosomal RNA (511 nucleotides) under uncultured bacterium. RNAcentral's name for it is "bacterial SSU rRNA". It matches the Rfam family "Bacterial small subunit ribosomal RNA", at positions 8 to 518 of the family's 1533-position model. The record is from RNAcentral.